GAUGAACGCUGGCGGCGUGCCUAAUACAUGCAAGUCGAGCGAACAGACGAGGAGCUUGCUCCUCUGACGUUAGCGGCGGACGGGUGAGUAACACGUGGAUAACCUACCUAUAAGACUGGGAUAACUUCGGGAAACCGGAGCUAAUACCGGAUAAUAUAUUGAACCGCAUGGUUCAAUAGUGAAAGACGGUUUUGCUGUCACUUAUAGAUGGAUCCGCGCCGCAUUAGCUAGUUGGUAAGGUAACGGCUUACGAAGGCAACGAUGCGUAGCCGACCUGAGAGGGUGAUCGGCCACACUGGAACUGAGACACGGUCCAUACUCCUACGGGAGGCAGCAGUAGGGAAUCUUCCGCAAUGGGCGAAAGCCUGACGGAGCAACGCCGCGUGAGUGAUGAAGGUCUUCGGAUCGUAAAACUCUGUUAUUAGGGAAGAACAAAUGUGUAAGUAACUAUGCACGUCGUGACGGUACCUAAUCAGAAAGCCCCGGCUAACUACGUG
RNAcentral lists this ribosomal RNA (497 nucleotides) under uncultured bacterium. RNAcentral's name for it is "partial 16S ribosomal RNA". It matches the Rfam family "Bacterial small subunit ribosomal RNA", at positions 28 to 507 of the family's 1533-position model. The record is from RNAcentral.